CCAAUGAUUGGGAACCAGUUGAGGUUGAUAGAUCUCCUGGUUGCUAAAAUCAGAUACCCAUCUUUGUGCACCUUUUUUAUGUCUCUGGUGGUCGCAAGAGAAGUCUCUUAUUUGGAGGAUCUCUUCUAGUUCAUUUUGAUCCUCGGACAAAUGAAUGAAGCCACCAAAUGGUUGCUAUAGCACACUUUUUUGCCGUCCAAAAUAUCUGUCUAACAUUGAUUUGUGUAAAAUACAUAAAA
RNAcentral lists this unclassified non-coding RNA (239 nucleotides) under soil metagenome. Its description in RNAcentral is "partial internal transcribed spacer 1". The record is from RNAcentral.